This 253-nucleotide ribosomal RNA is filed under the name uncultured bacterium. RNAcentral describes it as "partial 16S ribosomal RNA". It matches the Rfam family "Bacterial small subunit ribosomal RNA", at positions 524 to 776 of the family's 1533-position model. The record is from RNAcentral.
UACGUAGGUGGCAAGCGUUGUCCGGAUUUACUGGGCGUAAAGGGCGUGCAGGCGGUCUGUUACGUCUAGGGUGAAAGCUCCCGGCUCAACUGGGAGAGGUCCUUGGAUACUGGCGGACUUGAGGGAGGCAGAGGAGAAUAGAAUUCCCGGUGUAGUGGUGAUAUGCGUAGAUAUCGGGAGGAAUACCAGUGGCGAAGGCGGUUCUCUGGGCCUUACCUGACGCUGAGACGCGAAAGCGUGGGGAGCAAACAGG